RNAcentral lists this non-coding RNA (75 nucleotides) under unclassified sequences. RNAcentral's name for it is "RAGATH-18 RNA". It matches the Rfam family "RAGATH-18 RNA". Rfam says of the family: Actinobacteria, Firmicutes, Fusobacteria, Thermotogae (1 example). Nearby to self-cleaving ribozyme genes The record is from Rfam by way of RNAcentral.
CCUUUUAAGAGCUACACCAAACUAGAGUAGAUAUAGUAAUUUACUAUUUCAAAAUAGAGCUUUAUGAAGAAGGAA